This 768-nucleotide ribosomal RNA is filed under the name Planctomycetes bacterium SCGC AAA166-J20. Its description in RNAcentral is "bacterial SSU rRNA". It matches the Rfam family "Bacterial small subunit ribosomal RNA", at positions 88 to 842 of the family's 1533-position model. Lineage: Bacteria; Pseudomonadati; Planctomycetota. The record is from RNAcentral.
GAGUAAAGCGGCGAAAGGGUGAGUAACACGUAAUCAACGUACCCCUCAGAUCGGAAUAACCUCUGGAAACGGUGGGUAAUGCCGAAUGGUCCCAGGAGAGACAUCUCUCCAAGGGUAAACGGUGCCUUCGGGUGCUGCUGAGGGAGCGGGUUGCGGCCUAUCAGUUUGUUGGUGGGGUAACGGCCUACCAAGACGAUGACGGGUAGCGGGUCUGAGAGGAUGAUCCGUCACACUGGGACUGAGACACUGCCCAGACUCCUACGGGAGGCUGCAGUCGAGAAUCUUCCACAAUGGGCGAAAGCCUGAUGGAGCGACACCGCGUGCAGGAUGAAGGCCUUAGGGUUGUAAACUGCUGUCACGCUAUAGGAACCCAUGGUCGUUAAUAGCGGCCGUGCUGACCAAAGCGAGAGGAAGCGCCGGCUAACUCCGUGCCAGCAGCCGCGGUAAUACGGAGGGCGCAAGCGUAGUUCGGAUUUACUGGGCAUAAAGAGCACGUAGGCGGCUCGCUCAGUCAGGUGUGAAAGCCCACGGCUCAACCGUGGAACUGCACCUGAUACUGGCGAGCUUGAGGACGGAAGGGGUGAGUGGAACUCCAGGUGGAACGGUGAAAUGUAUAGAUAUCUGGAGGAACACCGGUGGCGAAAGCGGCUCACUGGUCCGUCUCUGACGCUGAGGUGCGAAAGCUAGGGUAGCGAACGGGAUUAGAUACCCCGGUAGUCCUAGCCGUAAACGAUGGGCACUAGGCAAUGGGCCCUCCUAUGAGGUUCA